UAGCGAAAUUCCUUGUCGGGUAAGUUCCGACCCGCACGAAAGGCGUAAUGAUUUGAGCGCUGUCUCGGCAAUACAUCCGGUGAAAUUGAAGUGCCAGUGAAGAUGCUGGCUACCCGCGCCAGGACGGAAAGACCCCAUGGAGCUUUACUCCAGUUUGGCACUGGGGUCCGGUGUUGCAUGUACAGGAUAGGUGGGAGGCUGAGAAACGGUAACGUCAGUUGCCGCGGAGCCGCUGUUGGGAUACCACCCUUGUGAUAUUGGGCUUCUAACCAGCCGCCGUGAUCCGGCGGUGGGACAAUGCCAGGCGGGGAGUUUGACUGGGGCGGUCGCCUCCGAAAGGGUAUCGGAGGCGCCCAAAGGUUCCCUCAGAAUGGACGGAAACCAUUCGAAGAGUGCAAAGGCAGAAGGGAGCUUGACUGCGACACCGACGGGUGGAGCAGGUACGAAAGUAGGGCUUAGUGAUCCGGUGGUAUUAAGUGGGAAUGCCAUCGCUCAACGGAUAAAAGCUACCCUGGGGAUAACAGGCUUAUCACUCCCAAGAGUUCACAUCGACGGAGUGGUUUGGCACCUCGAUGUCGGCUCAUCGCAUCCUGGGGCUGUAGUAGGUCCCAAGGGUUGGGCUGUUCGCCCAUUAAAGCGGUACGCGAGCUGGGUUCAGAACGUCGUGAGACAGUUCGGUCCCUAUCCGGCGUGGGCGCAGGAUAUCUGAGAGGAGCUGUCCUUAGUACGAGAGGACCGGGAUGGACGGACCGCUGGUGGACCGGUUGGCUUGCCAAAGCCAUGGCCGGGUAGCCAAGUCCGGAAGGGAUAAACGCUGAAGGCAUCUAAGCGUGAAGCCCCCCUCAAGAUGAGAUAUCCCAUUCUUAUGAAGUAAACCCCCUUGAAGACGACGAGGUAGAUAGGGCAGAGGUGGAAGUGUGGUAACACAUGGAGCUGACUGUUACUAAUCGGGUGAGGGCUUGACCAA
Molecule: ribosomal RNA, 967 nt
Filed under: human gut metagenome
Description: bacterial LSU rRNA
Rfam family: Bacterial large subunit ribosomal RNA
Source: RNAcentral